Long non-coding RNA from Papaver somniferum (opium poppy), 1846 nucleotides. RefSeq lists it as uncharacterized. Lineage: Eukaryota; Viridiplantae; Streptophyta; Magnoliopsida; Ranunculales; Papaveraceae. The record is from RefSeq and is a predicted model, not a curated record. The transcript has 7 exons.
AAUGUCCCAGAUGAUUUUGGCGCACCACUACAUCAUGCUUCCAGCGCUGGCGAACACGAUACUGUUAAAGUUCUUCUGGAUCACGUGCUAAUCCUAAUUUGGUCUUCCAUGAUACAUUUACUCCACUUCGGGUAUCUAUCAGUUCCAAUCUUGGCAAUGCGGGGAGCAAUUACUAAAGGCAGGUGCUGAUCCAAAUGGUGGACCAGAUGGAGUAAAAGCUCUGCUACUUGCCUCUGAAGUUGGCGCAACAUGAUCAAGGAUCUGCUCGAAGCUGGUGCAAAUCCGUAUAUUACAAUUAUAGUAAUGGGGCGACAUAAAUCAUCAAACUCCUGGUUGAAGCUGGUGCAGAUCCCAAGGUUACAAAUUUACAAGGACUAAAGCCAAUAGGAGCUAUUGACGGUAAUCAUCGAGGUGUUGAGAUUCUUCUUCCUGUGACUUCCCUCAUAUGUUGACUGGAGCGUAAAUGGAAUAAUGAAGCAUGUAAAUUCUAAGAAGUUCGAAAAAAGAAACGUUUCAGGUGAAUGUAUUGAUUUACAGUAUACUAGUAAAGUAAAGGAGAGUCCUCUUGAGGCAAAAUAAAGGGCACAAUUGCAUACCAUAAGGAGUAUUGUCUGGCAGUAUAUUGGUACUCACAGCUAUCUUUUUCUUAAUCAAAAACGCUAUAAGGCAAAGUGUAUAAAUGAAAUUUAAUUUAAUUGAUAGCUAUUAAGUGGAAGGUGAAAUAAGAACCCUUACACCUUCCACGUAUGUAUUGAUGUUUAAGCAUCCACACUAUAUGUGGUACAAUUUGGAUCAUUGGGGAAUAUCCGGGAACAUCUGCGUUUAUACUAGUAAUGUGCCUCUGUCAAACCAUGAUCUAGGAAAGAAAUCGUGUUCAAGCCUUCAUUUCUUCUUUUGUCGGUACGUAGAUUUUAUUUCAAUGCAGUUCCCCUUCUACUUAUUUCAAAAUUGACGUUCAAGUUUCAGAACCUGGGCAUUUUUAAGUCCCAACCACACAGUUUUUCACAAGAGAGAACGCUUCCCUGUUCCUCUUACAUCUUCAUCACCUAGGCCCAUUCUCAUCUGAAACUUAACUGUUCAUCUCAGCUGUUUUUGAUGUUUUAAAAUAGUUACUUGGUGUAAUUGUUAUGCAGGCACAUGUUACUGUUGCAGUAGACUUAGAACGGGACACCACCUAUAUCCACAGUUUCCAUGUUGUCUUCGCAUUUUCUCAAGCAUGGAAAUUAAUUUUACAGAUAUUUUCGCUCUUAAACUGUAUUUCAAACUGUCAUUUGUUCUUUUUCCCCAAAAUGGGUUGAUCGCUCUACUGGUUUGUUUUUCAGGCCCUCGACUAUGAACCAUGAUGCAGUGAUGGUCGUACCCAACAGGAGUUUGUGCUAUGCUCUUUUUAAAUAAAGGAGAUCUUGCUUUGGAAGAUGUUACUCAAUGUGUGUGGGAAAGGCCAGACUGGCCCAAGGCGUUUUAUAAGGCAGGCGUAGCACUCAAACCUCUAAAUAGGCUUGAUGAUGCAGCUGGUGCCUUUUUCAAAGGUUUGAAAGUGGAUCCUAAACAAAGAGCUUGAAGAUGCAUUCAGGGAGGUUACUUUAGUCCCACUCUAGGUUGAAUGACAGAUGGUGGAUAUUUAUCCAACAGAUACUCCGCAAUUUUUUUUUUCUUGGAUGAAACUUUUUGUAACUCCUGUAAAAAAUUAGAAACUUGCUAACGAUCUCUUGAACCAUGUAAUGGCUCUUGAUAGUUCCUUCUGUUUGAAUUGAAGUCUCAACAAGUCUAAAGCAUUGGGCAAGUCUCCCUAUGUUCUUGGUAUUAGUUCUUUUCCUCUUUGUUUUCAAACAGCUCAUAAAAAUUG